Daphnia pulex (common water flea) is the source of this 66-nucleotide non-coding RNA. The record is from Rfam. NCBI's taxonomy places the organism in Eukaryota, Metazoa, Arthropoda, Branchiopoda, Diplostraca, Daphniidae.
GGAUGUAUCCUGUUAAGUCAGCCGCACUUAUUAAUGGACCUCUGCCGCAGGGACAGGGUUACAUCC